RNAcentral lists this ribosomal RNA (523 nucleotides) under uncultured soil bacterium. Its description in RNAcentral is "bacterial SSU rRNA". It matches the Rfam family "Bacterial small subunit ribosomal RNA", at positions 8 to 524 of the family's 1533-position model. The record is from RNAcentral.
AGAGUUUGAUCCUGGCUCAGAUUGAACGCUGGCGGAAUGCUUUACACAUGCAAGUCGAGCGGCAGCGCGGGGGCAACCCUGGCGGCGAGCGGCGGACGGGUGAGUAAUGCAUCGGAACGUGUCCUCUUGUGGGGGAUAACCAGUCGAAAGACUGGCUAAUACCGCAUGAGCUCGUAAGAGGAGAGCAGGGGACCCGCAAGGGCCUUGCGCGAGAGGAGCGGCCGAUGCCCGAUUAGCUAGUUGGUGGGGUAAAAGCCCACCAAGGCGACGAUCGGUAGCUGGUCUGAGAGGACGACCAGCCACACUGGGACUGAGACACGGCCCAGACUCCUACGGGAGGCAGCAGUGGGGAAUUUUGGACAAUGGGCGCAAGCCUGAUCCAGCCAUGCCGCGUGUGUGAAGAAGGCCUUCGGGUUGUAAAGCACUCUCGGACGGAACGAAAUCGCGCGUGUUAACACCUCGCGUGGAUGACGGUACCGUAAGAAGAAGCACCGGCUAACUACGUGCCAGCAGCCGCGGUAAU